Molecule: ribosomal RNA, 465 nt
Filed under: uncultured bacterium
Lineage: Bacteria
Description: partial 16S ribosomal RNA
Rfam family: Bacterial small subunit ribosomal RNA
Source: RNAcentral
GACGAACGCUGGCGGCGUGCUUAACACAUGCAAGUCGUACGGUAAGGCCCUUUCUGGGGUACACGAGUGGCGCACGGGUGAGUAACACGUGAGUAACCUGCCCACAACUUUGGGAUAACGCUAGGAAACUGGUGCUAAUACUGGCUAUGUGCUCCUGCUGCAUGGUGGGGGUUGGAAAGCUCCGGCGGUUGUGGAUGGACUCGCGGCCUAUCAGCUUGUUGGUGGGGUAGUGGCCUACCAAGGCGGCGACGGGUAGCCGGCCUGAGAGGGUGACCGGCCACAUUGGGACUGAGAGACGGCCCAGGCGCCUACGGGGGGCAGCAGUGGGGAAUAUUGCACAAUGGGCGCAAGGCUGAUGCAGGAACGCCGCGUGCGGGAUGACGGCCUUCGGGUUGGAAAACGCUUUCAGCAGGGAAGAAGCUUUUUGUGACGGUACCUGCAGAAGAAGCACCGGCUAACUACGUG